This 1122-nucleotide ribosomal RNA is filed under the name marine bacterium BL10_025. RNAcentral describes it as "bacterial SSU rRNA". It matches the Rfam family "Bacterial small subunit ribosomal RNA", at positions 92 to 1246 of the family's 1533-position model. The record is from RNAcentral.
AUAGUGGCAGACGGGUGAGUAACGCGUGGGAACGUGCCCUUCACUACGGAAUAGCUUCUGGAAACGGAAGGUAAUACCGUAUACGCCCUUCGGGGGAAAGAUUUAUCGGUGAAGGAUCGGCCCGCGUUAGAUUAGAUAGUUGGUGGGGUAAUGGCCUACCAAGUCUACGAUCUAUAGCUGGUCUGAGAGGAUGAUCAGCCACACUGGGACUGAGACACGGCCCAGACUCCUACGGGAGGCAGCAGUGGGGAAUCUUGCACAAUGGGCGAAAGCCUGAUGCAGCCAUGCCGCGUGAAUGAUGAAGGCCUUAGGGUUGUAAAAUUCUUUCGCCAGGGAUGAUAAUGACAGUACCUGGUAAAGAAGCCCCGGCUAACUUCGUGCCAGCAGCCGCGGUAAUACGAAGGGGGCUAGCGUUGUUCGGAAUUACUGGGCGUAAAGCGCGCGUAGGCGGGCUAUUAAGCCAGAUGUGAAAGCCCGGGGCUCAACCCCGGAAUUGCAUUUGGAACUGGUAGCCUAGAGACCAGGAGAGGUUAGCGGAAUACCGAGUGUAGAGGUGAAAUUCGUAGAUAUUCGGUGGAACACCAGUGGCGAAGGCGGCUAACUGGACUGGUACUGACGCUGAGGCGCGAAAGUGUGGGGAGCAAACAGGAUUAGAUACCCUGGUAGUCCACACCGUAAACGAUGAAUGCUAGUUGUCUGCGCGCAUGCGUGCAGGUGACGCAGCUAACGCAUUAAGCAUUCCGCCUGGGGAGUACGGCCGCAAGGUUAAAACUCAAAGAAAUUGACGGGGGCCCGCACAAGCGGUGGAGCAUGUGGUUUAAUUCGAAGCAACGCGCAGAACCUUACCCGCGUUUGACAUGCCCUGUUUGGUUACCAGAGAUGGUUUCCUUCAUUUAGUUGGCAGGUGCACAGGUGCUGCAUGGCUGUCGUCAGCUCGUGUCGUGAGAUGUUUGGGUUAAGUCCCGCAACGAGCGCAACCCUUAUCCUUAGUUGCCAGCACGUCUGGGUGGGCACUCUAAGGAAACUGCCGGUGCUAAGCCGGAGGAAGGCGGGGAUGACGUCAAGUCCUCAUGGCCCUUACACGCGGGGCUACACACGUGCUACAAUGGCAGUGACAAUGGG